UUUAUCAGUAUGCAUUUUCGACAAAUGUGAAUCUAGAAAUGUGAAUAACCUUGUUGAAAUUCUGAAAGGAAAGCAUACUCAACUUACAACGAAUCCAUGAAAACCAACUCUUCUUCCUCCCAGCUCUCUCGUUUUGGGCGAUUUCAAGGUGAUUUGGGCAGCGGCCCGCUCAUCUGCGGCGCUGGCCGCCGGCGAUUUGGGCGGCGGACCUCUCAAAACCGAAAACUCUCCCCUCUCUCCCCCUGUCUCUCUCUUUUUGGGCGAUUUCAAGGUGAUUUGGGCGGCAGCCCUCUCAUCUGCGACGCUGGCUGUUGGCGUUGGCAUGCCGCCGGCUCUGGAUCUGUCACACUUCCCCCCUCUUCCUAUCUCCACCUCUAAAGCUACUAGGGAGGAAGCGGAAAUGGAGUCAGUCCCUUUCAAGGUUUCCUAUGUGGCGACUUUGAGGCCACAGUCUCCACGCACCUCGAAGAAGUGCUUCGUUGACCUUGGGGAGGAGUGCAUGCCUGAUCUACAACAAUAAACCAGCUUAUGGAUGAAGAAGCUUGUUUGGUGUAGCUUAUGGAUGAAGAAGCUUGUUUGGUGUUGGAUGUAUAUUUUAUUGAUGUGAGAUGGUAUCACAAAUCUGAAGUGUGUUUAGAUGUCUAUUGGUGAUUCGGUGAUGUGAUAGUCACUUGUAUUUCUUGCACUGUGUGCAAGAAUUAGAUUUCAUUUCUUUUUUGAGUAGUCUGUUUGGAGAUCAUGGUAUGUGACUUAUUUUUGUGAGCUUAGAGGCAUAUUCUCGUCCGUUCAUUGUUGGUGGUUAUUUUGGAGAUAUAAGUCUUCAAGGAAGUGGCAGAAACAUCUUUGGUAUGUUGUUGUUAUUUUGUUAUAGAGUUUGUAAGUAAAGUCUUUGUGUUUUGUGAUCUUGGAAUGUAAGUAUGGAGAGGAGCUAUCUUAGUUUGAAUACACAUGUAAAUCUUUGGAGUCUUUGUAAAUUGUAAUAUGAGGUCAGGUUUACUA
Long non-coding RNA from Zingiber officinale, 999 nucleotides. RefSeq lists it as uncharacterized. NCBI's taxonomy places the organism in Eukaryota, Viridiplantae, Streptophyta, Magnoliopsida, Zingiberales, Zingiberaceae. The record is from RefSeq and is a predicted model, not a curated record. The transcript is spliced from 2 exons.